Molecule: ribosomal RNA, 1125 nt
Filed under: Triticum aestivum (bread wheat)
Lineage: Eukaryota; Viridiplantae; Streptophyta; Magnoliopsida; Poales; Poaceae
Description: partial small subunit ribosomal RNA
Source: RNAcentral
GAGAGAUUCACCGACGAUCUCCUCGUGGAGAUCCUCUCCCGCAUCCCCGCCAUGUCUCUCCGCCGCCUCAAGUGCGUCUCCAAGCACUGGCUCUACCUCAUCGACCACCCCGACCACCGCAAAAAGCUCCCCCAACCCCUCGCCGGCUUCCUCUACACCAGCAGCACCACCGGGGAGUUGCUUACGGUUUCAUCUUUCCGCUUCACCAGUCUCUCGAGGGGAUGCCGCGCUCCUCUCAUAGACACGUCUUUCGCCUUCCUGCCCAACCACCAGCGCGUCGAUCUUUUAGACUGCUGUAGCGGCCUCCUCCUCUGCCGCUGGCACGCCGCCGGGGCCGACGAAUGCCGUUACAUCGUGUGCAAUCCCGCGAGAAAGGAGUGGGUCAUGCUACCUGAACCCAGCAAGGCCGAGGAGGUGAGCACUGUACGCCUGGGUUUCGAUCCGGCCGUGUCUUCCCACUUCUAUGUGUUUAUUAUGUUGCUGGAGGAGAUCGACGGUGACUUCUACCACACCAGAGUGAAUGUGUAUUCGUCGGAAACCGGACGGUGGGCUCACCUCUCAGGAGUGGCAGUGUAUUCGCCGGAAACCAGAGGUUGGGUUUAUAAGGAGAACAGAUGGAACAAACGUGUCUUGCUCAUUGAACUUCAGUUAUCAUCUGUCUUUCUUAACGGCUAUAUGCAUUUUCAAGUCGAUAGCGGUGACUUUUCAUGCUGUCUAGCUGUGGUGGACACGGUCAGGGAAACAUGGAUGAACUUCAAUGUCCCUAGUGGUCUGGUUGACGGGUUUAUUCAACAGUCACAAGGCCGCUUGCAUUAUGCCAAUUUUCAGAGAGGUGCAGAUGGUGGUGUUCUUCCACUCAUAGUUUAUGUUCUCGAGAGCUACCAAAGCAAAGAAUGGACACUGAAGCACAACGUUGAAACUUCAUGCAUAUUGGGAGGGACAGAUUACUGCAUUGAUGGGUUUGAUUGGAUUGUAAUUCAGCCGGAAUGCAACUUGAUAUUCUUCGCCCUUGGGCAGGAUCUCAAAUUCAUGUGCUAUAAUAUGGAUCGCCGGCAAGUCAAAGUGAUCUGCAAUCUUGAAGAUGUGAAGCCUCCACAUCUGCCAUAUGUGCCGUUGUAUGCGGAG